CGUGGGAUCAGUGGCGAACGGGUGAGUAACACGUGAGCAACCUGCCCCUGACUCUGGGAUAAGCGCUGGAAACGGCGUCUAAUACUGGAUACGAGACGUGAUCGCAUGGUCAUCGUCUGGAAAGAAUUUCGGUUGGGGAUGGGCUCGCGGCCUAUCAGCUUGUUGGUGAGGUAAUGGCUCACCAAGGCGUCGACGGGUAGCCGGCCUGAGAGGGUGACCGGCCACACUGGGACUGAGACACGGCCCAGACUCCUACGGGAGGCAGCAGUGGGGAAUAUUGCACAAUGGGCGCAAGCCUGAUGCAGCAACGCCGCGUGAGGGAUGACGGCCUUCGGGUUGUAAACCUCUUUUAGCAGGGAAGAAGCGAAAGKGACGGUACCUGCAGAAAAAGCGCCGGCUAACUACGUGCCAGCAGCCGCGGUAAUCGUAGGCGGUUUGUCGCGUCUGCUGUGAAAUCCCGAGGCUCAACCUCGGGCCUGCAGUGGGUACGGGCAGACUAGAGUGCGGUAGGGGAGAUUGGAAUUCCUGGUGUAGCGGUGGAAUGCGCAGAUAUCAGGAGGAACACCGAUGGCGAAGGCAGAUCUCUGGGCCGUAACUGACGCUGAGGAGCGAAAGGGUGGGGAGCAAACAGGCUUAGAUACCCUGGUAGUCCACCCCGUAAACGUUGGGAACUAGUUGUGGGGUCCAUUCCACGGAUUCCGUGACGCAGCUAACGCAUUAAGUUCCCCGCCUGGGGAGUACGGCCGCAAGGCUAAAACUCAAAGGAAUUGACGGGGACCCGCACAAGCGGCGGAGCAUGCGGAUUAAUUCGAUGCAACGCGAAGAACCUUACCAAGGCUUGACAUAUACGAGAACGGGCCAGAAAUGGUCAACUCUUUGGACACUCGUAAACAGGUGGUGCAUGGU
RNAcentral lists this ribosomal RNA (906 nucleotides) under Microbacterium sp. RNAcentral describes it as "bacterial SSU rRNA". It matches the Rfam family "Bacterial small subunit ribosomal RNA", at positions 85 to 1049 of the family's 1533-position model. The record is from RNAcentral. Lineage: Bacteria; Bacillati; Actinomycetota; Actinomycetes; Micrococcales; Microbacteriaceae.